Long non-coding RNA from Ailuropoda melanoleuca (giant panda), 534 nucleotides. RefSeq lists it as uncharacterized. The record is from RefSeq and is a predicted model, not a curated record. The transcript has 4 exons. NCBI's taxonomy places the organism in Eukaryota, Metazoa, Chordata, Mammalia, Carnivora, Ursidae.
UCCUCACCCGCAUACUAGAGAUGAUGGUAAUAGUACCUAUCUCCUGUGGUUAGUGUGAGGAUUAACUGGAACAGUAAAUGGAAAGCUCUUGCAUAGGGCUUCACGUAGUGACUGCUCGAUAAGUAGUAGUUACUCGUAUUAUUUUCUUCUCCUGUGGCCCUUACCAUAACUCUGUGAAGGUACAGAGUUAACAUUGCUUUUACCUCUCACAGAGAACAGAGGAUCAUCUGAGAGGUUUUACAGAUGCAGCAACGAAGGUUGAGCAGGUUGAAGAACUUUCCUGAGGUCACUGCUAGUAAGAGGCAGUACAGGGUAACUGAAGCCACUGUUGGAAAGGGAUGGCAAUAUGAAUGAGAUAAUUUAGAGUGACCCGCAGAAAUCUGACUCGCGUUCUCCUUAAUGUACCGGACCCUGUACAUGUGGCAUUGCAUAUCUAUCUUCAGUUUCCUUCAACCGAAAUGACAACGAGAGAGAGACACGAGUGGCCAGGCCCAGCCGCAGCCGCAGCAGCAGCCGCCGCGGCGGCACGGAGGA